RNAcentral lists this long non-coding RNA (890 nucleotides) under Setaria viridis. RNAcentral's name for it is "long non-coding RNA (SVIR_LNC002331)". The record is from RNAcentral. Lineage: Eukaryota; Viridiplantae; Streptophyta; Magnoliopsida; Poales; Poaceae.
CAGGAAAAACCUGAAGAUAGGCCAUUCAUGUCUUCUGUUGUGUUCAAUUUGGAGAAUGGGUGCCCAACACUACCAGCGCCAAAUCACCCUGCAUAUUUUGCACAAAGAAAUUGUGAUAUGGUGCAAAUGAGAGAAGAUAUUAUGAACUCUAUGAACACAGUGACUCUUACAGCAAUAGAGGGGAGAUAGAUUAACCCUUAAAUUUUUAGUCAUAAAAUAUUUGUUUAGGUCAAUUCUAUGAACUUAUAAUUUGCUUUUUUUUAGUACUAAUCUUGAAAUACAGUGUGCUGCUACCUUUUCCCUACUAGUAUGGUACAAAAGCUUUGUUUGGAAACCAGAAGUAGCCUGAAUGAAAUAAUAUUAAACAGAUACAUGCAGCUCAAAACAUCCCGUUGAGAUGAUACUGAUAAAGAAAGCGUAAGGUUUGUAAAACAGAACCUUUACCUAGUAUAAUGGCAGCCUGGCAGGGGAUAGGAUUGUUGCUUGCCAUUGAGCCGAGGUCAUCAUCGUUCACCAGCAGAAGCAAUCGCAUAACCCGCUAUCGCUUGCCGGCACGCAGGGACAAGAGACCGGUGGUGUGAAACUGUGAACUGGUGCAGCCAGUGGAUGCAGAGCGCGGGAAUGGGUGCGGCGUAGGCAUUCUGUCGAACAGGUGGAAGGCUUUCCGCGAGCACGCAGGCGAGGCGGAAGACUAGCCGAAGCCACCGAUGAUGAGAAAGUGGGCAGUUGGGCACGCAGCUUGAUAUCGGUCGCUCACACUUUCGUCUCCUCUGCAUUGGCGUCCGGCUGGCGAAGGCGGAACCUGGGAUCUCAGGGAGACUCAGGGUUGUCGCCUUGUCGGACUCCGAGACUCGGACAUAGGAGGACGACGCGCGCUGCGGGAGAAAUUC